Long non-coding RNA from Patella vulgata (common limpet), 1207 nucleotides. RefSeq lists it as uncharacterized. The transcript has 5 exons. NCBI's taxonomy places the organism in Eukaryota, Metazoa, Mollusca, Gastropoda, Patellidae. The record is from RefSeq and is a predicted model, not a curated record.
GCGGCAUUGACAAACUUCGAGACCAAUGACGUCUAUAUCCGGUUUACUUAUUCUUUCAUACAAUAGUUAUCUUCCCGAGAAUCGAAAGAAGAAUGUUGUCUAUUAUUAGAGCAGUAUCUUCGCGCUUUAAUAUCUUAUGAGUUUCGCGCUUUCUGAACGCUAGGCUAGAAGUAGAGAGAAGGACUUCGUUUACCACUACCAGCGUUCUUAUUAGGCCUAUAGGCCUAUUUUUAUCUACAAACAGUUGUCUUUUAUUUCUCAGCAUAGGAGACUUUCUGGUCUGGUUUUGAUAACCAAUUGGUUUCAAAGAUAUUUAGUCUAUUUAUUCCAGUAUUUGGUAAAUAUUUAGGAAAUUAAGACAGGAUUGAGAAGUCAUGUCAAGAUAAUUUUAAAGCUUGCUAUCAAACCCAAUGGUCUAUCCAAGAUGAUGGCUGGCCUAAUGAGAGUGACAGUGUUGAAAAUUACACAAUUAAAACAGAAAAGUGCCUGUUACAAUCUAAAUUCCCAUUAAUUGUUAAAGACUUUGAAAAACAGCAAGACGAAAAAGUAAAACAAAAGUCUUCAGAAAAGCAAAAGAAGCCUCAAAUAAAAAAGGACCCUCAUCAAAUGACAAUGGAUAAGUUUUUUUCUUCAAGAAAAAGAUUAAACUUUGACAGUAGUAGAACAAGUAAAAAGAAAAAAAGUUAAUGAGACCAAUUGAUCAUGUAAAGAAAUUGUGUAAGACUAAUACUGUGAUAUAACAGGCAACAUUAUUGUGUCUAACUUACACCUCUGACAUAUAGGGCCCUAAAAUUAAAAUUUAUAUUAUUUUAAAAUCAAAAUAACAGAAAUUGGUUCAUUAUUUUAAAAUGUCAAAAAUUGUGAAUCUUUUUCAAAAGUACUUUUUUUAAAGAUAUAUUUAAUGUGUACAGGUCACAAUUCUAUGGAAUACAAUUACUGCUUAUUACUGAGCGACGUUUCGACUAGGCUUCUCUAGUCAUUAUCAAUACAGUAAUUGUAUUCCAUAGAAUUGUGACCUGUAUACUCUAGUUCAAUUACUAAAUGCCAUUGAAACAGUUUAUAUUUAAUGUAAUCUUGGCAGAUUGCGUCAUCCAAAGUAUUUAGUUUAUCAGGUCCGAGUUCACAAAGCAUUCUUAGCCUUAAGUUAAGAAUUUACUCAACUUUCAAUAACUGUUUAUGAGAAAUAUCUUUCAUCCAGAAACACAAA